RNAcentral lists this ribosomal RNA (277 nucleotides) under uncultured bacterium. RNAcentral describes it as "partial 16S ribosomal RNA". It matches the Rfam family "Bacterial small subunit ribosomal RNA", at positions 335 to 608 of the family's 1533-position model. The record is from RNAcentral.
AUUCCUACGGGACGCAGAAGUGAGGAAUAUUGGUCAGUGGGCGGAAGCCUGAACCAGCCAAGUCGCGUGAGGGAAUAAGGCCCUACGGGUCGUAAACCUCUUUUGCCGGGGAGCAAGGGCGGGGACGUGUCCCGGCCCGGAGAGUACCCGGAGAAAAAGCAUCGGCUAACUCCGGGCCAGCAGCCGCGGUAAUACGGAGGAUGCGAGCGUUAUCCGGAUUUAUUGGGGUUAAAGGGGGCGUAGGCGGGCUUUUAAGUCAGCGGUAAAAGUUCGGGGC